UGAGAGAAGAAAUAGCAGCCACUCUCCUCCAAAACACUGGUAAGUUGACUGAGAACACGAGCUGGUGUCACGAAUGUCGUCUUGAAAAUGACCGGAACAAUGUGCAGCGUGGUGAGUGUACCUUUUAAUUUAUUUCUAAAUGUCACCAACAAAACAAUAAACAACAAAACAAACGUGAAGCUCUGUAAGGCUAUACAUGCAUUAAAUGAAGACAACAACCCACAAAUGAGAAAAGGAAAAAAGGCUGCCUAAGUAUGAAUCCCAAUCAGAGACAACGAAAGACAGCUGUCCCUGAUUGAGAAUCAUACCCUGCCAAAACCAAAGAACCAGAAAGCAUAGACUUUCCCACCCAAGUCACACCCUGACCAAACAAACAUAGAGAAUAAAAGGAUCUCUACGGUCAGAGCAUGACAGUACCCCCCAAAAAAAAAAGUGCGGUCUCCGGCCACAAACCUGACACUAUAGGGGAGGGUCCGGGUGGGCAUCCAUCGUGGUGGCGGCUCCGGUGUGGGACGCAGACCCCGCUCCACCUCGGGCUCCCCCCACUUUGGUGGCGCCUCUGGUGCGGGGACCCUCGCCGCAGGCCCCGGACUGGGGACCCUCGUCGCAGGCCCCGGACUGGGGACCCUCGUCGCAGGCCUCGGACUGGGGACCCUCGUUGUAGGCCCCGGCCUGGGGACCCUCGCUGCAGGCCCCAGACUGGGGACCCUCACUGCAGGCGCCGGACUGGGGACCCUCGCUGGAGGCUUCGUGCCAUGGAUCAUCACUGGAGGCUUCGUUCCAUGUAUCAUCACUGGAGGCUUUGUGCCAUGGAUCAUCACUGGUGGCUUCGAACAUGGAGCCGGAACAGGUCUCACCGGUCUGAGAAGACCUACUGGAAGCCUGGUGCGUGGAGCUGCCACAGGGCUUACCAGGCUGGGGAGACAUAAUGGAGAACUUGUAUGUGGAACUGGAACAGGUCUCACCGGACUCGGGAGAUGCACUGGAAGCCUGGUGCGUGGAGUAGGCACCGGAUACACUGGGCCGUGGAGGCGCACUGGAGGUCUCAAGAGUAGAGCUGGCACAACCCGUCCUGGCUGGAUGGUUACUUUUGCCCGGCAAAUGCGGGGCGCUAGUACAGGACGCACUGGGCUGUGCAGACGCACUGGAGACACAGUGCGCAGAGCCGGCGCAGGAUAUCCUGGGCCGAAGAGAUGCACUGGAGGCCAGGAGCGCUGAGCUGGCACCAUCUGUCCUGGCUGGAUGCCCACUCUAGCCCAUCCAAUGCAGGGAGCUGGAAUAUAGCGCACCGGGCUGUGAACGUGCACUGGAGACACCAUGCGCUUCACCGCAUAACACGGUGCCUCACCAGUACCACGCUCCCUACCGUGAGCAAAAAACAGCCAAAAACAAAGAACCAGAAAGCAUAGACUUUCCCACCCGAGUCACACCCUGACCAAACAAACAUAGAGAAUAAAAGGAUCUCUACGGUCAGGGCGUGACAGCUGGUGAAUAGUUAGAAGGGAGAGCUGAUGAAUGAGCCAAUUGGAAGCCCUACAUUUGGAUUUCCUAACAAGAGUGCCACCAUGUGUUAUUGUGGGGAUUGAGGCACUUACUGGAAACUUAAGUGUUUAAUGAGCAUAGUAAUUCCAUGUAAAACUAUAAUUGCACUCAGGAUAACAUUAGAUCAGCAUGAAAUUACUGCUUGGUGCUGUAGAUAUAGGGACUAGAGCAAGAGUUUUGUCUGCUCAGGUCACAUGGUCAGGAAACAAAUCCUGGCCCUAUAGUGCAGGUUCACCAUGUCAUUGGCUGUGGUGUUAGAACAGAUGAAUCCUCAUUGCUAUUUCCAUGGUUAGGCCUUUCAUACCCUGAACCAAAUCACUGAAGCCAACAGAGACAGAUUAAAUUCAGAGAAGCUGGAUGGACUGCAGUGAUAUAACAGAUUCUGAUUGACUGUGGCUGAUUGUGAGUGUGGCAACGGCCCUGAGAAGCAAAGGAAGGAAUUUCCUGUUUCAAAAUUCAAAUAAAUAAAUAAAUAGUGGAUGUAACUUCUCAUGAAUGUUUACAAGAGUUCAUUCUACCGUCUCUCUCUCACACACACACCCUCUCUCUCUCUCUAGAAGAACAUAUAGUGUCAUAAUGAUGUGCGUAUGUGACUUGAGGAGUGUCUGCAGCUGUUUCUAAUGUCAUGCUAUUAUUACCUC
Oncorhynchus tshawytscha (Chinook salmon) is the source of this 2183-nucleotide long non-coding RNA. The record is from Ensembl. NCBI's taxonomy places the organism in Eukaryota, Metazoa, Chordata, Actinopteri, Salmoniformes, Salmonidae.